CGAAUCGAUAUAUUACUUAUCGAGUACUAUAAAAAAAUGCGGAUAUAGUCGAAUGGUAAAAUUUCUCUUUGCCAAGGAGAAGACGCGGGUUCGAUUCCCGCUAUCCGCCCCUACCUUUUUUAUUUUGUAUAUAUUUAAUUUAGAUAGUAAGUCUAUAAAAUUUGAUAGAGUUUACGGGGAUAGUCUAGGUAGAGUAUUUCCCUUUAGUC
Molecule: non-coding RNA, 209 nt
Organism: Lupinus albus (white lupine)
Lineage: Eukaryota; Viridiplantae; Streptophyta; Magnoliopsida; Fabales; Fabaceae
Source: the annotation of a GenBank genome assembly